GACGAACGCUGGCGGCGUGCUUAACACAUGCAAGUCGAACGGAAAGGCCUGCUUUCCCUUGUGGAUUGCGGGUACUCGAGUGGCGAACGGGUGAGUAACACGUGAGUGAUCUGCCCCCAACUUGGGUAUAAGCCUGGGAAACUGGGUCUAAUUCCCGAUAGGACUGCAGGGUGGUGCCUGUGGUGGAAAACGAUUUUCUAGUGGUUGGGGAUGAGCUCGCGGCCUAUCAGCUUGUUGGUGGGGUAAUGGCCUACCAAGGCGGCGACGGGUAGCCGGCCUGAGAGGGUGGACGGCCGCAUUGGGACUGAGAUACGGCCCAGACUCCUACGGGAGGCAGCAGUGGGGAAUAUUGCACCAUGGGCGGAAGCCUGAUGCAGCGACGCCGCGUGGGGGAUGACGGCCUUCGGGUUGUAAACUCCUUUCGACCGCGAGGAAGCCACCUGGUUGGAAGGGUGGUGACGGUAGUGGUAGAAGAAGCACCGGCUAACUACGUG
RNAcentral lists this ribosomal RNA (494 nucleotides) under uncultured bacterium. RNAcentral's name for it is "partial 16S ribosomal RNA". It matches the Rfam family "Bacterial small subunit ribosomal RNA", at positions 28 to 507 of the family's 1533-position model. The record is from RNAcentral.